Molecule: transfer RNA, 86 nt
Filed under: Solirubrobacterales bacterium
Lineage: Bacteria; Bacillati; Actinomycetota; Thermoleophilia; Solirubrobacterales
Description: tRNA-Leu
Rfam family: tRNA
About the family: Transfer RNA (tRNA) molecules are approximately 80 nucleotides in length.
Source: RNAcentral
GCGGAUGUGGCGGAAUUUGGGUAGACGCGCGGGCUUCAGGUGCCCGUGUCCUUAGGGACGUGGAGGUUCGAGUCCUCUCAUCCGCA